UACAAUUGAAAUUAUUUUAAUUUCUAAACAAAGUGAGUAAAAUGCAACAUAAUGGCAGUAUACAAAAUAAUGAAUGGCGCAAAGAAGGUACAUAUAAGUACUCCAAUUUACACUUUUCACAUAAAAAGAGAACAAAGGGACAGUCAAUAAACCCAAACAGCAGCACACGUACAAGGAUAAGCGAAAUACUGUUGUUCUAAUGCAGUGUGCAUAUUCACCCAGAGAGCUCGCUGUUCCACAAUAUCGUUAAAAUCCCAGAUGCAGAGAGACUUGCAGAAAAGGGACAGGAAUGUACCUGAAAGAAAAGAACAUUUGGAGUUAUAUUCACUAUAUGUGAGUUAUAUCAGCACUGAGGUUUUAAGAGAGAAAUUGUACAAACAGGAAUAAAUGGGAGUGGGGCAAAGAUCCCCAUGGGCAGAUUAUUCCAAAAAUUGCCUUCUAAGGAAUGUUGUGUUUCUCCUUUCUCUGAAGCAUUUACAUUGGCUAUUAUGACUUUAAACUGACAAAGGGUAGAUUUAGACUAGAUAUUACAAAGAAAUUCUUUCCUGUAACAGUGUUGAGGCACUGGCACAGGUUGCCCAGGGAAGCUGUGGCUGCCCCAUCCCUGGCAGUGUUCAAGGCCAGGCUGGACGGGGCUUUGAGCAACCUGGUCUAGUGGAAGGUGUCCCUGCCUAUGGCAGGGGGUUGAGACUGGGCGAGCUUUAAGGUCCCUUCCAACCCGAACCAUUCGAUGACUCUAUUAGCAGCAAUCAGUGACUGGAGAAGACAAACUACUUCUUAUCCCCAUGUGCUCUCUUCUGCAGCAAGGCCAGAGUACCUUCGCACCAGCCCUGUCCCCAUGAUCGCCCAAAGAAAUGGCUUUUCCCCUUCCCUCCCCGCAGCCACCUGGUCAGUGAAGCACCGACCAGGGCCAGCCCAGCGCGCUGCUGCCACCAGCCUCGCUCCCUGUAGCAACCUCCUUGAAGACUGCUGCAGUUUUGGUGGCUGUAGGGGCCACCAAGUAGCAUUGCGUGGAAGCCUAAACCCAGUUCCCCAGGCUAGGGUGCAGCUGCAGUGGGUUGGGGCUGCCUGGGAAAAGGCAGCUGCUCAGGUGGGUGCCAACUCCCAGCUUGCUCGUUCCUUGUAGCCAAGGAACAUCUCACAUCCUCAGCCAUAUGUGACUGAAGGAGGUGAAAAUAAUCCCCUUUUUUUUUUAAUUGACAUGCAGUGGUAUCUCCCUUAUUCAUCGUCAAAACGAACUGAAAUUAAACUCGGUAACAAUUCUGCAUGGUGUUGGAAAUGUGGAAGGUGGGAGUAUUCCUGCCCAUGGCAGGGGGGUUG
This 1320-nucleotide long non-coding RNA is filed under the name Strigops habroptila (Kakapo). RNAcentral's name for it is "lncRNA (ENSSHBG00005006500.1)". Lineage: Eukaryota; Metazoa; Chordata; Aves; Psittaciformes; Psittacidae. The record is from RNAcentral.